Neofelis nebulosa (Clouded leopard) is the source of this 587-nucleotide long non-coding RNA. RefSeq lists it as uncharacterized. The record is from RefSeq and is a predicted model, not a curated record. NCBI's taxonomy places the organism in Eukaryota, Metazoa, Chordata, Mammalia, Carnivora, Felidae. The transcript is spliced from 2 exons.
AAUCCCUGCUUGGACGCGAAAAACCGCCUUGCAAAUAGGGUUGCCUUGGCCUCCGGGAGCGGAAAGGCUCCGGGGGCGGGGGAGGGGGGUGUGUGUGUAACUCGCGGCUACAACCUGUCGAGCUUUUGACAGUGUCCGAACCCCUUAUUAAAUGUGAUCUUGGAGGGUUUCGUGACAGCGUUGGCAAAACAGGGAUUCUUUUUUGAGGCGACAACAAAGGCUCGGGUCACAUAUAAAGUGGAGGAAAGAGAAAAGAUUAGAAAUUCUUUCUACACACAUGCUGUCAUGCACACCCCAACGCACGGGCAUCCUCCCUCUCCCUUCACGAAACUUGGAAGAAAUGGGGUGAGAUGGAGAAGGACACCGACCGUCGGAAAUCUGGAAGUGGAAAGAAGCCUCAGGGUUUUCAAAUUCUCUGAUCGUGGCAACCGGAACCAAGAGAGGCUUCUUUUCUGUCUGCGGUUGGCAGAACCUGAGAGAUGCUGCUACUUGAACCCUGGAGCGGAAGGGUACAUGAUUGGUGCUGUCCCCAUGCUGGACACUUAGACGUUUUGUGCAUAUACAAAUAAAACAGUCUUUUUUCACUU